Molecule: ribosomal RNA, 319 nt
Filed under: uncultured bacterium
Lineage: Bacteria
Description: bacterial SSU rRNA
Rfam family: Bacterial small subunit ribosomal RNA
Source: RNAcentral
AACGAACGCUGGCGGCAGGCCUAACACAUGCAAGUCGAACGCCGUAGCAAUACGGAGUGGCAGACGGGUGAGUAACACGUGGGAACGUACCUUUCGGUUCGGAAUAACUCAGGGAAACUUGAGCUAAUACCGGAUACGUGCGAGAGCAGAAAGAUUUAUCGCCGAAAGAUCGGCCCGCGUCCGAUUAGCUAGUUGGUGAGGUAAUGGCUCACCAAGGCGACGAUCGGUAGCUGGUCGUGAGAGGAUGAUCAGCCACACUGGGACGUGAGACACGGCCCACGACUCCUACGGGAGGGCAGCAGUGGGGAAGUAUUGGUAC